GAUAAGAACGUAGCGAAAUGCGAUAAGUAGUGUGAAUUGCAGAAUUCAGUGAAUCAUCGAAUCUUUGAACGCACAUUGCGCCCUUUGGUAUUCCUUAGGGCAUGCCUGUUCGAGCGUCAUUUAAACCUUCAAGCUAAGCUUGGUGUUGGGUGACUGUCCGCUUCACGGCGGACUCGCCUCAAAAUUAUUGGCGGCCGGUACAUUGGCUUCGAGCGCAGCAGAAACGCGAACUCGGGCCCGUCGUAUUGGCUCCCAGAAGCUAUCUUCACAAUUUUGACCUCGGAUCAGGUAGGGAUACCCGCUGAACUUAAGCAUAUCAAUAAGCGGAGGA
This 331-nucleotide unclassified non-coding RNA is filed under the name soil metagenome. Its description in RNAcentral is "partial contains 5.8S ribosomal RNA, internal transcribed spacer 2, and large subunit ribosomal RNA". The stretch from base 4 to 119 matches the Rfam family "5.8S ribosomal RNA", at positions 39 to 154 of the family's 154-position model. The record is from RNAcentral.